Long non-coding RNA from Metopolophium dirhodum (rose-grain aphid), 1185 nucleotides. RefSeq lists it as uncharacterized. The record is from RefSeq and is a predicted model, not a curated record. The transcript is spliced from 3 exons. Lineage: Eukaryota; Metazoa; Arthropoda; Insecta; Hemiptera; Aphididae.
UUGUCCACAAAAACUCCCAGCGCUAUCCAAAAAACAAAGUAUUUUUAAUUUAUCAAGAAAGCAUUAUCUUGUUCUAAUGUUUUUGAUUUCACAAUUGUAUGAAUAAAUACAGUUUUUUCUUUAUGCAUUUCUUUACUUUAUAUUUUAUAUUAUAUUUUGCUGAUGAAAAUGUGUUUAUGGACAGGUACCUCAACUCGACGUUGCUGUAUGUCCGGUCCAAUAAUGUAAGUUAUAAGUCAUUGUGUAUAUUUUAAUACAAUAAAAGCAUAGUAAAAAAAUAAUUAAUAGACUAUAUUAAUGUAGUACCUACUUAAUUAAUUUAAUAUACCUAACCGUACCUAUAUACAUAUAAAAAUAUUAUAAUAAUAUAUUAUUUAUGUUUGAAUUCAUUAGAACAAUGGCGUAUCAGACGUCGCUCCCAAACCGGUCGACAUCCAUCUGCAUAACUCAUUCCGCAAGAAUGAGUGGUAUAGUUUGAAAACUUACCAAAGUUAUCUGGUGGAUGUCGAUACGUUGGUGAGCAGCCGUCGCACAUAGGUCUGAUGUACCUAUGGAAAGUUAUUAUUGGAUCGGUCAUAAUAUUACGUUGAGAAGUUAUCUGUCCAUAAACUUAUUUUCAGAUUUGUAGGCCAAUUCCGUUGCCAUUUUUUAAUCAUUCUUUGUUUUUAUUAAGGUUGAGGUGUAACAGCAUUUUAGGGGCUAUUGUAAUUCCCACUUCCAGGACUUUAUCAUACAUACAGCCGACAGCACGAUGACCUACAUUUUUGUGUAUUAUGGUCUACACUAUGAUGGCAGCGAAGUAACGAUCACGUCACCGUUUAUCAGAUUGCCCAGUUUGAAAGAGUCUCCAACAAUUUCAUCGGAUAGGUACGCCAUAAACAGUGGCAUAGCGCUGGGCCAGCAUCAUUUUGUCCGGAUCAAUAUCUAAAAAAAUGACGUCCCAAUUAUUAGAAGCUAAUAAUAUAGUGUCUUGUCGAACAGUCAGCUGUACGAAGUUUCCGCUGUGCCACAAAACGGGUCGACGCCGGUCGCUGAACAUGGGAAGUCCUCAAGUCCACCCAGCAUCGUAUUGAUGAAUCAACAAUACAUCUUACAUCUUACAUCUAUCAUUGCAAUUUUAUAAUUAUUCACCUGAAUGCAUGUAAUCCUGAAUGUACAGUUAAUUUAUUACUACCCAUCUACAAA